CGUAGCCGCGGUAAUGCGAAGGGUGCAAGCGUUAAUCGGAAUUACUGGGCGUAAAGCGUGCGUAGGCGGUGAGUUAAGUCUGCUGUGAAAUCCCCGGGCUCAACCUGGGAAUGGCAGUGGAUACUGGCUCGCUAGAGUGUGUCGGAGGAUGGUGGAAUUCCCGGUGUAGCGGUGAAAUGCGUAGAGAUCGGGAGGAACAUCAGUGGCGAAGGCGGCCAUCUGGGACAACACUGACGCUGAGGCACGAAAGCGUGGGGAGCAAACAGGAUUAGAUACCCCUGUAGUCCCUGUCUCUUAUACA
RNAcentral lists this ribosomal RNA (301 nucleotides) under uncultured bacterium. RNAcentral's name for it is "partial 16S ribosomal RNA". It matches the Rfam family "Bacterial small subunit ribosomal RNA", at positions 510 to 808 of the family's 1533-position model. The record is from RNAcentral.